GUCGGGCACAGUGGCUUAUGCCUGUAAUCCCAAUGGCUUGGGAGGCUGAGGCAGGAGGAUCACAAGUUCAAAGCCAGCCUCACCAAAAAUGAGGUAUUAAGCAACUCAGUGAGACCCUGUCUCUA
This 125-nucleotide small RNA is filed under the name Marmota monax (woodchuck). Lineage: Eukaryota; Metazoa; Chordata; Mammalia; Rodentia; Sciuridae. The record is from RNAcentral.